RNAcentral lists this ribosomal RNA (301 nucleotides) under uncultured bacterium. Its description in RNAcentral is "partial 16S ribosomal RNA". It matches the Rfam family "Bacterial small subunit ribosomal RNA", at positions 509 to 807 of the family's 1533-position model. The record is from RNAcentral.
CAGUAGCCGCGGUAAUACGAAGGGGGCUAGCGUUGUUCGGAAUCACUGGGCGUAAAGGGUGCGUAGGCGGAUUCUUAAGUCAGGGGUGAAAUCCCGAGGCUCAACCUCGGAACUGCCUUUGAUACUGGGGAUCUUGAGUCCGGAAGAGGUGAGUGGAACUGCGAGUGUAGAGGUGAAAUUCGUAGAUAUUCGCAAGAACACCAGUGGCGAAGGCGGCUCACUGGUCCGGAACUGACGCUGAGGCACGACAGCGUGGGGAGCAAACAGGAUUAGAUACCCCAGUAGUCCCUGUCUCUUAUAC